CCGGGAUCGUAAGCAUACCUGCCCUGUGCGAAAUAUUACUGUAAACGGCCGCCCUAGCGUGAGGGUGCUAAGGUAGCGAAAUUCCUUGCCUUUUGAUUGUAGGCCUGCAUGAAUGGUUUAACGAGGGUUUAACUGUCUCUAAAUUUUUUAUUGAAAUUGUACUGAAGGUGAAGAUACCUUCAUUUAAAAGUUAGACAAAAAGACCCCGUGCAACUUUGAAAAUUAACUUUAUUCAGAAGUAAAAGAUUUUUAGGUGGGGCGCCUAGAAAGUAAGUCUAACCUUUCUGAAUAAUUAGUUCUUUCCGGAUUCGACCCGAUUAUAUUCGAUCAUAGGAGAAGUUACGCCGGGGAUAACAGGCUAAUCCUUUAGUAGAGCUCGUAUUGGCUAAAGGGAUUGGCACCUCGAUGUUGAAUCAGGGAUGAUAGCUUCAAGGCGUAGAGGCUUUGAGAGUAGGUCUGUUCGACCUUUAAUACCCUACGUGAUCUGAGUUCAGACCGGAGG
This 502-nucleotide ribosomal RNA is filed under the name Magallana hongkongensis (Hong Kong oyster). Its description in RNAcentral is "partial 16S ribosomal RNA". It matches the Rfam family "Bacterial large subunit ribosomal RNA", at positions 1840 to 2622 of the family's 2925-position model. The record is from RNAcentral. Lineage: Eukaryota; Metazoa; Mollusca; Bivalvia; Ostreida; Ostreidae.